GUUCUUGCUUCGGCAGCACAUAUACUAAAAUUGGAAUGAUACAGAGAAGAUUAGCAUGGCCCUUGAGCAAGAAUGACAUGCAAGUUGAUGCCCUGAACUAUUGU
RNAcentral lists this small nuclear RNA (104 nucleotides) under Leptobrachium leishanense (Leishan spiny toad). The record is from RNAcentral. Lineage: Eukaryota; Metazoa; Chordata; Amphibia; Anura; Megophryidae.